AAAAGGAGGAGGAGAAGAUGAAGAAGACAGAAAACUUCUCAAAAAAAUCAGAGAACCAAUGUAUUAAGUGAAUGAGAAGAGGAAGAAGAAGAAGAAAAAGGAGGAGGAGAAGAUGAAGAAGAAGACAGAAAACUUCUCAAAAAAUAUCAGAGAACCAAUGUAUUAAGCGAAUGAGCCAUCCUGGAGAGGGAGCGUCAGCGGCGAUGUGGGACAGAGCAGAGGCCUCUGCAGGUGCGCUGAAAUUUGAACUGGUUCGGGGUUGGCUCCUCCAUUGGUGGUGCUCUCCAUUGUUUCCUCAGUGGAAGACAAGC
Long non-coding RNA from Hypanus sabinus (Atlantic stingray), 311 nucleotides. RefSeq lists it as uncharacterized. The transcript is spliced from 3 exons. The record is from RefSeq and is a predicted model, not a curated record. Lineage: Eukaryota; Metazoa; Chordata; Chondrichthyes; Myliobatiformes; Dasyatidae.